This 216-nucleotide ribosomal RNA is filed under the name Campeiostachys nutans. Its description in RNAcentral is "Elymus nutans partial small subunit ribosomal RNA". The stretch from base 47 to 216 matches the Rfam family "Eukaryotic small subunit ribosomal RNA", at positions 693 to 864 of the family's 1831-position model. The record is from RNAcentral. Lineage: Eukaryota; Viridiplantae; Streptophyta; Magnoliopsida; Poales; Poaceae.
GGAUCAAUAUGCUGGUCGUGCCUUUGGUACGUACUGGUAUUAUUGGUUUCUCCUUUCUGAUGAAUCACGAUGUCAUUAAUUUGGUGUCAUGGGGAAUCAGGACUGUUACUUUGAAAAAAUUAGAGUGUUUAAAGCAGGCUCGCGCUUGAAUACAUUAGCAUGGAAUAAUGAAAUAGGACGUUUGAUUCUAUUUCGUUGGUUUCUAGAAUUGACGUA